This 492-nucleotide ribosomal RNA is filed under the name uncultured bacterium. RNAcentral describes it as "partial 16S ribosomal RNA". It matches the Rfam family "Bacterial small subunit ribosomal RNA", at positions 29 to 507 of the family's 1533-position model. The record is from RNAcentral.
AGUGAACGCUGGCGGUAGGCCUAACACAUGCAAGUCGAACGGCAGCACAGUGAGAGCUUGCGCUUACGGGCGACGAGUGGCGGACGGGUGCGGAAUACAUCGGAAUCUACUUUUUCGUUGGGGAUAACGUAGGGAAACUUACGCUAAUACCUCAUACGACCUACGGGUGAACGCAGGGGAUCUUCGGACCUUGCGCGAUUGAAUGAGCCGAUGUCGGAUUAGCUAGUUGGCGGGGUAAAGGCCCACCAAGGCAACGAUCCGUAGCUGGUCUGAGAGGAUGAUCAGCCACACUGGAACUGAGACACGGUCCAGACUCCUACGGGAGGCAGCAGUGGGGAAUUUUGGACAAUGGGCGCAAGCCUGAUCCAGCCAUGCCGCGUGGGGGAAGAAGGCCUUCGGGUUGUAAAGCGCUUUUGUUGGGAAAGAAAAGCAUCAGGUUAAUACCCCGCUGUUCUGACGGUACCCAAAGAAUAAGCACCGGCUAACUUCGUG